This 559-nucleotide ribosomal RNA is filed under the name uncultured archaeon. Its description in RNAcentral is "bacterial SSU rRNA". It matches the Rfam family "Archaeal small subunit ribosomal RNA", at positions 333 to 894 of the family's 1478-position model. The record is from RNAcentral.
CAGCAGGCGCGAAAACUUUACAAUGCCGGCAACGGCGAUAAGGGAACCUCGAGUGCCAGGUUACAAAUCUGGCUGUCGUGAUGCCUAAAAAGCAUUGCAUAGCAAGGGCCGGGCAAGACCGGUGCCAGCCGCCGCGGUAACACCGGCGGCUCGAGUGGUAACCGUUAUUAUUGGGUCUAAAGGGUCUGUAGCCCGCCGGGUAAGUCUCUUGGGAAAUCUGGCAGCUUAACUGUCAGGCUUUCAGGAGAUACUGCCUGGCUCGAGGCCGGGAGAGGUGAGAGGUACUUCAGGGGUAGGGGUGAAAUCUUGUAAUCCUUGAAGGACCACCAGUGGCGAAGGCGUCUCACCAGAACGGACCUGACGGCAAGGGACGAAAGCUAGGGGCACGAACCGGAUUAGAUACCCGGGUAGUCCUAGCCGUAAACGAUACUCGCUAGGUGUCGGCCACGGUGCGACCGUGGUCGGUGCCGUAGGGAAGCCGUGAAGCGAGCCACCUGGGAAGUACGGCCGCAAGGCUGAAACUUAAAGGAAUUGGCGGGGGAGCACAAGGGCGAUUCGC